Metopolophium dirhodum (rose-grain aphid) is the source of this 268-nucleotide long non-coding RNA. RefSeq lists it as uncharacterized. The record is from RefSeq and is a predicted model, not a curated record. The transcript is spliced from 3 exons. NCBI's taxonomy places the organism in Eukaryota, Metazoa, Arthropoda, Insecta, Hemiptera, Aphididae.
UAUUCUGGAGCGUUUCCUCAUGGGCGUCGCAGUUCACACACGUCACGGAUUCCGCCGAAGGAGUCGAUAAUUAAAACUGAACUUUUGGAUCGGAUAUAUGAAGACGCGCGCUGCAUUUUCCUUGACGGAGACGCACAGCUCUGACACUAGACAAUAUUAUACACUCAAAGGGACCGCGUUUCGCCGGAAGAAUAAAUAAUUACAAAUGGUAUUCGUCAGUGAACAUUUUCAAACUGGGAAUAAUAUAUCAUAAGCAGAUUGAAAUGUG